Molecule: ribosomal RNA, 386 nt
Filed under: uncultured bacterium
Lineage: Bacteria
Description: bacterial SSU rRNA
Rfam family: Bacterial small subunit ribosomal RNA
Source: RNAcentral
AUUGAACGCUGGCGGCAUGCCUUACACAUGCAAGUCGAACGGCAGCACGGGAGCAAUCCUGGUGGCGAGUGGCGAACGGGUGAGUAAUGUAUCGGAACGUACCUUUCAGCGGGGGAUAACGUAGCGAAAGUUACGCUAAUACCGCAUAUUCUGUGAGCAGGAAAGCAGGGGAUCGCAAGACCUUGCGCUGAUUGAGCGGCCGAUAUCAGAUUAGCUAGUUGGUGAGGUAAAGGCUCACCAAGGCGACGAUCUGUAGCGGGUCUGAGAGGAUGAUCCGCCACACUGGAACUGAGACACGGUCCAGACUCCUACGGGAGGCAGCAGUGGGGAAUUUUGGACAAUGGGCGCAAGCCUGAUCCAGCCAUGCCGCGUGAGUGAAGAAGGCC